Molecule: ribosomal RNA, 492 nt
Filed under: uncultured bacterium
Lineage: Bacteria
Description: partial 16S ribosomal RNA
Rfam family: Bacterial small subunit ribosomal RNA
Source: RNAcentral
AGUGAACGCUGGCGGUAGGCCUAACACAUGCAAGUCGAACGGCAGCACAGUAAGAGCUUGCUCUUACGGGUGGCGAGUGGCGGACGGGUGAGGAAUACACCGGAAUCUACUUUUUCGUGGGGGAUAACGUAGGGAAACUUACGCUAAUACCGCAUACGACCUACGGGUGAAAGCAGGGGAUCUUCGGACCUUGCGCGAUUGAAUGGGCCGAUGUCGGAUUAGCUAGUUGGCGGGGUAAAGGCCCACCAAGGCGACGAUCCGUAGCUGGUCUGAGAGGAUGAUCAGCCACACUGGAACUGAGACACGGUCCAGACUCCUACGGGAGGCAGCAGUGGGGAAUAUUGGACAAUGGGCGCAAGCCUGAUCCAGCCAUACCGCGUGGGUGAAGAAGGCCUUCGGGUUGUAAAGCCCUUUUGUUGGGAAAGAAAAGCAGCAGGUUAAUACCCCGCUGUUCUGACGGUACCCAAAGAAUAAGCACCGGCUAACUUCGUG